UACGGAGGAUCCGAGCGUUAUCCGGAUUUAUUGGGUUUAAAGGGUGCGUAGGCGGGAGAUUAAGUCAGUGGUGAAAGUUUGCGGCUCAACCGUAAAAUUGCCAUUGAUACUGGUUUUCUUGAGUACAGUUGAGGUAGGCGGAAUGUGGUGUGUAGCGGUGAAAUGCAUAGAUAUACCACAGAACACCGAUUGCGAAGGCAGCUUACUAAGUUGUAACUGACGCUGAAGCACGAAAGCAUGGGGAUCAAACAGGAUUAGAUACCCUGGUAGUCCAUGCCGUAAACGAUGAUCACUAGCUGUUUGCGAUAUAAAGUAAGUGGCAAAGGGAAACCAUUAAGUGAUCCACCUGGGGAGUACGCCCGCAAGGGUGAA
This 372-nucleotide ribosomal RNA is filed under the name uncultured bacterium. Its description in RNAcentral is "bacterial SSU rRNA". It matches the Rfam family "Bacterial small subunit ribosomal RNA", at positions 524 to 898 of the family's 1533-position model. The record is from RNAcentral.